ACCUGCGGAGGGAUCAUUACAAGUGACCCCGGUCUAACCACCGGGAUGUUCAUAACCCUUUGUUGUCCGACUCUGUUGCCUCCGGGGCGACCCUGCCUUCGGGCGGGGGCUCCGGGUGGACACUUCAAACUCUUGCGUAACUUUGCAGUCUGAGUAAACUUAAUUAAUAAAUUAAAACUUUUAACAACGGAUCUCUUGGUUCUGGCAUCGAUGAAGAACGCAGCGAAAUGCGAUAAGUAAUGUGAAUUGCAGAAUUCAGUGAAUCAUCGAAUCUUUGAACGCACAUUGCGCCCCCUGGUAUUCCGGGGGGCAUGCCUGUUCGAGCGUCAUUUCACCACUCAAGCCUCGCUUGGUAUUGGGCAACGCGGUCCGCCGCGUGCCUCAAAUCGACCGGCUGGGUCUUCUGUCCCCUAAGCGUUGUGGAAACUAUUCGCUAAAGGGUGCUCGGGAGGCUACGCCGUAAAACAAACCCAUUUCUAAGGUUGACCUCGGAUCAGGUAGGGAUACCCGCUGAACUUAAGCAUAUCAAUA
Molecule: ribosomal RNA, 531 nt
Filed under: Cladosporium sp. P36711
Lineage: Eukaryota; Fungi; Ascomycota; Dothideomycetes; Cladosporiales; Cladosporiaceae
Description: eukaryotic LSU rRNA
Rfam family: 5.8S ribosomal RNA (bases 176-329)
Source: RNAcentral